RNAcentral lists this transfer RNA (64 nucleotides) under Dipodomys ordii (Ord's kangaroo rat). It matches the Rfam family "tRNA". Rfam says of the family: Transfer RNA (tRNA) molecules are approximately 80 nucleotides in length. Their secondary structure includes four short double-helical elements and three loops (D, anti-codon, and T loops). Lineage: Eukaryota; Metazoa; Chordata; Mammalia; Rodentia; Heteromyidae. The record is from Rfam by way of RNAcentral.
GGUGGCUCAGUGGUAGAGUGCUUGCCUUGCAUGCAUGAAGCCCUGGGUUCGAUUCCCAGCACCA